UGGGGAAGUAUUGCACAAUGGGGGGAACCCGUGAUGCAGCGACGCCGCGUGAGGGAAGAAGGUUUUCGGAUUGUAAACCUCUGUCCUCUGUGACGAUAAUGACGGUAGCAGAGGAGGAAGCCACGGCUAACUACGUGCC
This 139-nucleotide ribosomal RNA is filed under the name uncultured bacterium. Its description in RNAcentral is "partial 16S ribosomal RNA". It matches the Rfam family "Bacterial small subunit ribosomal RNA", at positions 355 to 509 of the family's 1533-position model. The record is from RNAcentral.